Molecule: ribosomal RNA, 430 nt
Filed under: uncultured bacterium
Lineage: Bacteria
Description: bacterial SSU rRNA
Rfam family: Bacterial small subunit ribosomal RNA
Source: RNAcentral
GUGGGGAAUUUUGGACAAUGGGGGCAACCCUGAUCCAGCAAUGCCGCGUGUGUGAAGAAGGCCUUCGGGUUGUAAAGCACUUUUGUCCGGAAAGAAAUGGCCUGGGCUAAUACCCCGGGUCGAUGACGGUACCGGAAGAAUAAGCACCGGCUAACUACGUGCCAGCAGCCGCGGUAAUACGUAGGGUGCGAGCGUUAAUCGGAAUUACUGGGCGUAAAGCGUGCGCAGGCGGUUUUGUAAGACAGGCGUGAAAUCCCCGAGCUUAACUUGGGAAUGGCGCUUGUGACUGCAAGGCUAGAGUAUGUCAGAGGGGGGUAGAAUUCCACGUGUAGCAGUGAAAUGCGUAGAGAUGUGGAGGAAUACCGAUGGCGAAGGCAGCCCCCUGGGACGUCACUGACGCUCAUGCACGAAAGCGUGGGGAGCAAACAGG